AAAGAAUAGAACAUAACAUGUAAAAGACUUAUGAAAAUUCCAUACUUCCAGAAGAAGACAAUCCAGGAUACAAUUUCAGUUCUGGAGGCUGGGAAGGCCAAGAUCAAAGAGCCAGCAGAUUCAGUGUCUGGUGAGAGCUUGCCUCCUGGUUCAUAGACUGCCAUCUUCUCACUGUGUCCUCACUCGGCAAGGAUUUGACUGCUACCACCAUCCUAUGGCAGUUGCAGGUGUACAAUAUAGUGAUUCAGCAACUCUAUACAUUACUCAGUGCUCAUCAUGGCUUGAACUCACGACCCCAAGAUCAAGACCUGAGCUGAAAUCAGGAGUCAGAUGCUUAACCAACUGAGCCCCGCAGAUCAAGAACACAAAGUCAACAUAAAGCACAGAACAUUAUUCUGGUGAGAUCAGGAUCUGCUACCUGGGCGUAAAAGGUAAAUAGUAACUUUUUAUUGCUAUUUACAGUAACUACAGUAACUAACAGUAACUAUUUAUUUAUUAUAUAAAUAUAUAUAUAUAUAUAUUUUCAGUAUACAAGUCUUCAUAUAUAUGUAUUCAGUAUACAAGUCUCUCUCUCU
RNAcentral lists this long non-coding RNA (575 nucleotides) under Ursus thibetanus thibetanus. Its description in RNAcentral is "lncRNA (ENSUTTG00000002362.1)". The record is from RNAcentral. Lineage: Eukaryota; Metazoa; Chordata; Mammalia; Carnivora; Ursidae.